UGACGAGUGGCGGACGGGUGAGUAAUGUCUGGGGAUCUGCCUGAUGGAGGGGGAUAACUACUGGAAACGGUAGCUAAUACCGCAUAAUGUCGUAAGACCAAAGUGGGGGACCUUUUGGCCUCACACCUUCAGAUGAACCCAGAUGGGAUUAGCUAGUAGGUGAGGUAAUAGCUUACCUAGGCGACGAUCCCUAGCUGGUCUGAGAGGAUGACCAGCCACACUGGAACUGAGACACGGUCCAG
This 242-nucleotide ribosomal RNA is filed under the name uncultured bacterium. RNAcentral's name for it is "partial 16S ribosomal RNA". It matches the Rfam family "Bacterial small subunit ribosomal RNA", at positions 89 to 334 of the family's 1533-position model. The record is from RNAcentral.